This 253-nucleotide ribosomal RNA is filed under the name uncultured bacterium. RNAcentral's name for it is "partial 16S ribosomal RNA". It matches the Rfam family "Bacterial small subunit ribosomal RNA", at positions 524 to 776 of the family's 1533-position model. The record is from RNAcentral.
UACGUAGGGCGCAAGCGUUGUCCGGAAUUAUUGGGCGUAAAGAGCUCGUAGGCGGCUUGUCACGUCGGAUGUGAAAGCCCGAGGCUUAACCUCGGGUCUGCAUUCGAUACGGGCUAGCUAGAGUGUGGUAGGGGAGAUCGGAAUUCCUGGUGUAGCGGUGAAAUGCGCAGAUAUCAGGAGGAACACCGGUGGCGAAGGCGGGUCUCUGGGCAGUAACUGACGCUGAGGAGCGAAAGCGUGGGGAGCGAACAGG